GUUUGAUCAUGGCUCAGGACGAACGCUGGCGGCGUGCCUAACACAUGCAAGUCGAGCGAGAGACUUCGGUUUCUAGCGGCGGACGGGUGAGUAACACGUGGGUAACCUGCCUCAUAGAGGGGGAUAGCCUCCCGAAAGGGAGAUUAAUACCGCAUAACAUUUUGAUGUCGCAUGACAUUUGCUUUAAAGGAGCAAUCCGGUGUGAGAUGGGCCCGCGGCGCAUUAGCUAGUUGGUGAGGUAAAGGCUCACCAAGGCCACGAUGCGUAGCCGACCUGAGAGGGUGAUCGGCCACAUUGGAACUGAGACACGGUCCAGACUCCUACGGGAGGCAGCAGUGGGGAAUAUUGCACAAUGGGCGAAAGCCUGAUGCAGCAACGCCGCGUGAGUGAUGACGGCCUUCGGGUUGUAAAGCUCUGUCUUUGGGGACGAUAAUGACGGUACCCAAGGAGGAAGCCACGGCUAACUACGUGCCAGCAGCCGCGGUAAUACGUAGGUGGCAAGCGUUGUCCGGAUUUACUGGGCGUAAAGGAUGCGUAGGUGGAUAUUUAAGUGGGAUGUGAAAUACCCGGGCUCAACUUGGGUGCUGCAUUCCAAACUGGAUAUCUAGAGUGCAGGAGAGGUAAGUGGAAUUCCUAGUGUAGCGGUGAAAUGCGUAGAGAUUAGGAAGAACACCAGUGGCGAAGGCGACUUACUGGACUGUAACUGACACUGAGGCAUGAAAGCGUGGGGAGCAAACAGGAUUAGAUACCCUGGUAGUCCACGCCGUAAACGAUGGGUACUAGGUGUGGGAGGUAUCGACCCCUUCCGUGCCGCCGUUAACACAAUAAGUACCCCGCCUGGGGAGUACGGUCGCAAGAUUAAAACUCAAAGGAAUUGACGGGGGCCCGCACAAGCAGCGGAGCAUGUGGUUUAAUUCGAAGCAAAGCGAAGAACCUUACCAAGUCUUGACAUCUCCUGAAUUACUCUUAAUCGAGGAAGCCCUUCGGGGCAGGAAGACAGGUGGUGCAUGGUUGUCGUCAGCUCGUGUCGUGAGAUGUUGGGUUAAGUCCCGCAACGAGCGCAACCCUUAUUGUUAGUUGCUACCAUUUAGUUGAGCACUCUAGCGAGACUGCCCGGGUUAACCGGGAGGAAGGUGGGGAUGACGUCAAAUCAUCAUGCCCCUUAUGUCUAGGGCUACACACGUGCUACAAUGGCUGGUACAAAGAGAUGCAAUACCGCGAGGUGGAGCCAAACUUUAAAACCAGUCUCAGUUCGGAUUGUAGGCUGAAACUCGCCUACAUGAAGCUGGAGUUGCUAGUAAUCGCGAAUCAGCAUGUCGCGGUGAAUACGUUCCCGGGCCUUGUACACACCGCCCGUCACACCAUGAGAGGUGGCAAUACCCAAAGUUCGUGAGCUAACGCGUAAGCGGGGCAGCGACCUAAGGUAGGGUCAGCGAUUGGGGUGAAGUCGUAACAAGGUAACC
Molecule: ribosomal RNA, 1463 nt
Filed under: uncultured prokaryote
Description: partial 16S ribosomal RNA
Rfam family: Bacterial small subunit ribosomal RNA
Source: RNAcentral